CGCGGUAAACUGUAAAAUUACUGUAAUAUAAAUUUCAUUUAAAUUAAAAGAGGAAAAGCAAUGUAAUACAUGAUAAUACGAAAGUUUCUACUAUGUCUUCCACACACGGUGACUUCCCAUUAAAUAAUAGCUAUACUUCGCAGUCGUGAAAAGUUUAUUAAUGAAAUUGCUGCUUACGCAUGCGCUUAUUCCGUGUACGUCAGAACUCGGAGCUCCAUGUGACAGUUUGUUUCUAUACGCCAAUUGUAAGCAAUCGUUCCCUGUGUGAUGUUCCGUGUGUAAAGUUUUUUUUGCAUUCAUUAUUCGAUGCACACAAUAGCGAUACUACUAAAUUGUAGCAUAUCUUCACGUUUACUGCGCGUUAAAUUCAACGAUAUAAAAACUUCUAUGAAAUACACACAAUAGUCAAUUUCAGACAUUAGCAAUAUUGUGAGUUAACAGUGUUUUGCCAACAAAGUGCAAAAUAUUUCAAUUUUUGACAUAACCUGUUCUCCAGUUCUUGGAACCGUGUAUGCAGUGAGACCUUGAUAUCUUGAACUUGUUCAAUUGAAGACAGUUGUUAUAGGAUCAUGCUGGAGGAGGUACGUGCUUAGUUUUACGAUCUGGGUAAAUCGCGCGAAUACGACCCAAUAAAACUGCGUCGAUCGUGAGUUCAUAGUUUAUCAGUUGUCCAGUGCACAGUGAUGACGAAGUAUAAAAAGUGCUGAAAAACAUUUCGUGUCCUCAGACGAGGCGUUAAAGUGCGAUGGACAACGGCGGAGAGGGCGUGUUAGACAUAAUACAUAAUGACGAAGACCCUCCAUCCCACCUGAAUAUUAGUGAUGUCAUUGAAGCGAUUACGAAGGCGGAUCCGGUUUACGCAGGCGUAGACGCGAUGUCGCGGACGCCUGCGCCUGACCCGCUUGCUGCCUUGCGCUAUGUGAGGAUCGUUGAGCAGCCCGCCAGCAAAGCACUUAGGUUUCGAUAUGAAUGCGAAGGUCGGUCAGCGGGUUCAAUACCAGGCGUGAACAGUACGUCGGAGAGGAAGACAUACCCUACAAUAGAAAUAUGUGGACACAGGGGACCGGCCAUUGUCGUGGUGUCCUGCGUUACCAGAGAUGAACCAUUUAAACCACACCCGCACAAUCUGGUGGGUCGCGAUCGCUGUGAUAAAGGCGUGUGCACGGUGCGAACGAAUAUAAACGAUGACAAUCGUAUAUCGUUCAGCAAUCUUGGUAUACAGUGCGUGAAACGGAAAGAUGUUGCCGACGCCCUCGCUGUCAGGGAGAAGCUCAGGGUGGAUCCCUUUAAGACUGGUUUCCAUCAUCGAAACCAACCACAGACGAUAGAUUUGAAUGCUGUGCGGCUGUGCUUCCAAGUAUUCUUGCCAGAUGAAGCGACAGGCAAGAUUCGACACUCGCUACAGCCGGUUGUGUCUGAUGUGAUCUUUGACAAGAAGGCCAUGAGUGACCUGGUCAUAAUGCGUCUUAGUCACUGUUCUGCGCCGCCACAAGGAGGCAUGGAGAUGUUCUUGCUUUGUGAGAAGGUGGUUCGUGAAGACAUAGCAGUGGUGUUUUACCAAAAGGAAGGUGAAAUGGUUGUAUGGGAGGAAACUGCCAACAUUCAACUCGUUCACAAGCAGUAUGCUAUUGCCUUCCAUGUUCCGCCUUACCAUAAACCGACCACCCCACAUCAUGUACAGGUAUAUAUCCAGCUGAAGCGGAUAUCGGACAACGCCCGAAGUAACCCCGUGCCUUUCGAAUAUAUAGCUGAUUUCCAAGGUACCCCGCCUGCCGCUCGCAAGCCUCUCCCAGACCUCACCGCUCUUGCCGCCCUUCUCAAGCCGGACGGCAAUAAUAACACUAACACACACACAAACGACACAGACGUACUCGAUGCGGACACACACACGCUCGUCACCUCUUCCUCUGACAACUCAGAUGAGAUCGAACUCGUCAAUAGCGUCGAAAGCAGUGACGUCGUUGACGGUGAUGUUAUCGAAUGCGAGAUAAUUGACGAACCUCACACUAACGGAAUUCUUGACAAUGAAAAGAGUCUAAACGACCUCCUCGAACAGGUCGCCGAAUUAGAUGAGAUAUAUUCCGAAAACAGAACGCGACUCGAGAACAUUACUAUUAUAAAUGAUACGGAAGAUGUUGACGAUUUUAAUGACGCCGGAACGUACACCAGCCUACAGUUAGCGUUCAAAAAUCCAGUUUCGAUCACUGAACCCGAACCGUACGAAGAUGUCCAAGUUCAAACGUACCGCGGUCCGAUUAUAGAAUUUACUCCCCUCAAAGGUGGCGACGAUGAUGAAAGGGCUCCACCGCUACCACCCAAACGGGUCCGUAAAAAUUCAGACGCGUUCAGAACUAGUCAAACGUCCGUUAAUAGCAUAUUGAAACCGGGUAGAAAGCUGCCGGUCACCCGAAAUCCCGACAUCUUAGCCCCGCGAAAUGAAUUAACCCUUGCAAAAAGUGAGCCCGCGUUACCGCCCGCGCCUAAAAAGCGUUCGUUCUUCUCGCGUUUGUUCCGACGAAAGGAGAAAUCUCCGGCCCCGAGCAUCAAAUCUGAAGGGCAGAAAGAUGUUAAAACUAAACCCGUAGGCCGGUCCGUCAGUAGUGUAUCCGGUAUCCGACCGUCUAAAUUUAAAUCGGCAAUUUCGCACACGUCCCUAAAAGAUAACGCGUCUGCGGCCGGCUUGAGUUACGCAGAUAGCGUGACACACAUAUCGCUACACGAAGAUAUGGACGAAAAGUCCUCUCAAAGAUCCUUAAAACGGCCUGCCAGCCUUGCUCCCCUUCCUCCGACUGAUGGCGGCACAAUUCUUGUCGCAGAAAGCGUUUUAGCUUUAGAUGCAUCUGCGUUUAAAAAGUUGCAGGACGACCUCGAUCUAACUGAGGCUGAGCACUACGCUCUUUAUAUGGCAGUGGCACCGCACGCCACAGCGUCUGAGUUUGACGAAACUAGUUGCUAUUACUCGCCUGUAGAUGGCAGCAAAUUUCAUAACCAAUAAACCGUUACACCGCCUUUGUGGUGACCGCCUCCAUGUUUGUUUUGGGUUUGAAGAAUCCAGAAGUUCUCUCUUCUUCCCCCAUUAUUGGGUUAUGGGACUUUAAAUAGUUCUGUCAUAUGUAAGCAUCCAUCGUAGCUUUUAUGCUUAAAGUCAUACGUUUUUACUUUAACAUAGUUAUCCAAAUAAUUUUAAUAAUAUAGUAUAUUUUCGGUUACGUAAACAAUAUCGCGGAAUAAGAAAACAUAGUAAAGAAUUUUUCAAAUUAAUAAGUUUAAAUAGGUAAAUGCGCCCGUCAAGCCAAAUUUUUCUAUACCUUUACACUGCGUGUUGCGUUGUGUGCGUAUAUGGUGAAAAUUUGUUGGUUUUCUUACAAACCGACACUAUUUUCUAUACUAUAGGACAAAGUCCCAUUAUUUAAUAUUCGAAGUUGUUAAAGAAUUUAACUGUACUUUCCUAGUCGUCCUCCGAUAGCUUAAUAAAUCAUUAUAGGUUUUUCUAAUAUCUAGUCUUGUUUUUAUUUUUAUUGUUGUUAUUUUUAUUAAUUUUUAUGUUCAUUCUAGAUUCGAGUUACUUAAGGCAUAAGCGACAGAAAAUGAUUAAUUUGCAUCAAUUUGAUGAACGUAAGUUUAAAUUGUAAUUUCCAAAGGAAAUAUUUUUUAUUUAUGGGAUGUAGGGAGUGGUAUUAUGGUGCUUGGUUAUGUUAAUUUUAGAGAAUUAUUAUAUUUAUUGCAACUAACAAUUUUAAAUAGUAUUUAUUUUAGAUUAAGGAUUAUGUUAGAAAUAAAAAUGUUAACUAACAACCGUCCUUAGGAAAAAUCUAUUUUCAAUGCUAAUGUGCAUAUGUGUGCUAAUAUUUGUCAAGUAUUAGGAAAUUUUAGGUUUUAUCUGUUUUUAUAGUUAAAUGUGUGGAAUUAUUUGAAUUCAGAAAUUAUUAUAAUUUAAGCCGCAAAUUAAAACCAAACGUAACAUGCUUAGCUUGUCCGUUUGUCCAAAAUGUGAAUAAAAUAUUUCUUGUUAGAAAUAUUUUAUAUAUUAGGAUAAUGUAUACGUCGAAAAUUAAUACGUCUUGCUUAAUUACUGCUGCCACAGUUAUGCUAUUAUGGUAUAUAAUCUGUUUCUGUAACAUAGACGGGUCACAAUAGUUUGACACAUGACAGAUAUUUGAAGUUCUAACUAAGACUAGCCUAUCUGAAAGUAAUACGUUCUUAGUUCGAAAUUUAAAUUGCAAUAGAUGACAUGACAAGCCGACCCGUGAAUAUAGAAACAGUUGAAGGGUUGGCUUGUCGCUACAAUCAUAGCAGUAAUGAAGUUUGACGCAAUACACAAAUUUGUUAAAUUCGUCGCAAUAAGAAUAUAUUUCUAUGAAUUUUAAAGUUACGUCUAAGAUUUAGAUGACUUUACAUAAAUUACUAAAGAUAUGGUUGGGUAGUCGUAAAUUAUUUCUAGAAUUUUUAGUUCUUUUCCAUUUUCCGGUAAGUACCCCAUCACCUAGUCUUAGUUUGAAAAAAUUAACUAUACAAGUGGUUGUAUUUCUUGUAUGUAUUAUUAUUUGUGUUAGUUAUCGUAAUUUUAAUUUGCGACUAUCUAAUUGUAUGUGAUUUUGUAAGUUUUAUACAAAUAUAAGAAAGUGAAGCUUGGUAUGUCAAUAUAAUAAAAAGUAUACAAUGUAAUAAUUUAUUUCUGUAUUUCCAAAGCGAUGAAAUCAGAAUUAUCAGGAACGUUUGUGGAUCAGCCGAUCAAAUCGGAACCUAGAG
Pieris brassicae (large cabbage white) is the source of this 4749-nucleotide RNA transcript. It is a transcript of the gene named embryonic polarity protein dorsal, with no coding region annotated. Lineage: Eukaryota; Metazoa; Arthropoda; Insecta; Lepidoptera; Pieridae. The record is from RefSeq and is a predicted model, not a curated record. The transcript has 9 exons.